GGGGAUGUGGCUCCGUGGUAUAGUGUCUGCCUGGAAUGCAAGAGGCCCUGAGUUCAAUUCCCAGCAUCACGC
This 72-nucleotide transfer RNA is filed under the name Ictidomys tridecemlineatus (thirteen-lined ground squirrel). Its description in RNAcentral is "Spermophilus tridecemlineatus (thirteen-lined ground squirrel) tRNA". It matches the Rfam family "tRNA". From Rfam's summary of the family: Transfer RNA (tRNA) molecules are approximately 80 nucleotides in length. Their secondary structure includes four short double-helical elements and three loops (D, anti-codon, and T loops). The record is from Rfam by way of RNAcentral. Lineage: Eukaryota; Metazoa; Chordata; Mammalia; Rodentia; Sciuridae.